CGGAACGCAGCUCAGUCUUUAGAGCACCCGGCUUGGGACCGGGAGGCCACAGGUGGAAAUCCUGCCGUUCCGUGCCA
This 77-nucleotide transfer RNA is filed under the name Verrucomicrobiota bacterium. RNAcentral's name for it is "Verrucomicrobia bacterium (freshwater metagenome) tRNA-Pro". It matches the Rfam family "tRNA". Rfam says of the family: Transfer RNA (tRNA) molecules are approximately 80 nucleotides in length. Their secondary structure includes four short double-helical elements and three loops (D, anti-codon, and T loops). The record is from RNAcentral. Lineage: Bacteria; Pseudomonadati; Verrucomicrobiota.